AUGGAGACACUUCCAGGAUUUUGCAGUCACUCGUGGUGUGAGAACAGGCGAUUUAUAAUGACUUGCGCAAAAAAGGCCCGUGCUGAGGAGGAAGUGCGAAUUCAAGGCCACAUCUCCUUAUUUCAUGAAUUUUACCCUAAGUCACUCUGGCCAGUGGACAUAGACUCCAUUACCUCUGUUUGUCCCUUUGCAGGCCUGCUGGUUGUGAGAAACAUGCCUCCCUUGUCUCCUGGGUUUGCAGCUGGAUGUCACAAGGAGAGGGGAAAGUUUGACCCUCACGGAGGCCAACCUGGGGGUUCCUUGAGCUAUGGUAAAGCUGCUAGAAAGCAUUCCUGCAAACUCUUUUAUGAUCAAUUUCUUCCUCUCUGUAUAUAUCCUGUAGGUGGACGGGCUGUAUCGCAUUGUGAGAACUACAAGAAGCAGAGAGCAAUGCAGCUUAUAGCAGGAGGGGUGAAAGAAAGAAAAAGAAAAGGAAGGAAAGAAGGAAGCAAGAAAAACAUUUAGAGAAUGCCUAGCCUGUCUCUAGAAAUCCUAAGGAGGCUGAAUUAAUCCCUUCCAAAGUCGCACAGGUAAUUUGGCAUAGCUGAAUUGUGAUUCAGUUGAUUUGUAAUUUCUAACAGAGUAAUUUUCCACUAUCAUUUCUUUUAUCGUUAUUAAUUAUUUUUGUGGGUUGCGUACAAUUUGCUUGAUGCAAUACUAAGUGUUGGGAAUACAAAGAUGAGUAAAUUAUCAUAUUUUAUUAUCAAAUCUCUUGCCUGAUUAACUGAGAGUUUUCCAUGCUUCAAGGUGACAAGCAACUCAUCAGUGCAAAUGUCUAAUAUGUGUGUUAAUAUGCUAGUCAUUCCUUCUCAGUGAUAUAACAUAUUAAUGGUUACAAUAGAAUGUCAGCAAAGAUGGCCCC
RNAcentral lists this long non-coding RNA (901 nucleotides) under Canis lupus familiaris (dog). RNAcentral's name for it is "lncRNA (ENSCAFG00000052762.1)". Lineage: Eukaryota; Metazoa; Chordata; Mammalia; Carnivora; Canidae. The record is from RNAcentral.